Molecule: non-coding RNA, 1357 nt
Organism: Biomphalaria pfeifferi
Lineage: Eukaryota; Metazoa; Mollusca; Gastropoda; Planorbidae
Source: the annotation of a GenBank genome assembly
UACAGUAUGUACACAUUUAUUCCCAGAAAACAAAAGAUUGAUAAUCGAAUCAUAUUAUUAAAUUAAACAAUCAAUGUGCAACUAAUAAACUGUACUUGAAGAAGCAUUAAAUAUUUUAAUUAAGUAUUUUCAUUUAUUGUACACAUUAAAUAUUUCAAUUAAGUAUUUUCAUUUACUCUACACAUCUAACACAACCCUAAUAAACGUGAACAGUUCAGGUUGAAGUUUUAAAUACCCAGUAACAAAAUUUCCUUUUAAUACUUUCCAAAAUGUCUUACCAGCGUAGUUCUGCAGCAUAAUUAUAAAUUUCCAUAUACCAUAAGAAAAACAAAAGUUAAACCAUAUAUUUGAAUUACUUCAUUAAAAAUCAUUCACAUUUUGUAGAGUUCAAUGUCCAUGUACAAGUAUCACAGCCAAAUAGCCAGAGCGUUAUAAAGAAAGAAUAGCCAAACAAAAAACAAACUAAAACAAAUAACAUUAUUUUAAUAGACAAAAUCUGGGAGAGAGCAAUUAAACAUAAGCAAACAUAUAUAGACUGUGAUUCAUUCGUUAUCUACACAUGAUUUAUACUUACAUACUGAUUAAAAAUGGACACCUCAUAUACACAAUUUAUAUAAUAAAAUGAAAACGCAUAACAGAACUGUGUACAUGAUCAAUAGAAUUAUCAAACAAAAAAGAAUAAUUUAAACUAUUGAAAUAACACUUUACAGUGAAAAUAAUAUACAAAGCUACAAUUAUUUAUUACAUGUCUACUAGAAGUUAUUUACAAAUACAUAAUCUCACUCUCCCUCUUUCUCUCCUAAUUGACAAUACCAAUGUUGAUUUAACCCCAUGAAGUUACAUUAAUUUUUUGUUUUAUAAAUUAUAAUUUAAUUUGUGUAAAAAUAAAAAAAAUAUAAUCCUAUUUAAUUUGUUUUUAUCAAAUCUAACAUUUUGAAUAAAAAACAAACAAACAAAAAAAGAUAUUGAAGUUUAAUCAUAACAGGAUAGGGAAAUACAAAAUGAGCAAAAGGAAUAAAUCCAUUGGAAAGUGGAAAAUAAUUACGGAGAGAAAGAGUUUAACAAUGAUAAUACGGAAUUUCAAGUUGCAGACUAAUUGAUGAACUUUAGUCUGUAAGGCCACAAUGGUACAGUUUACAAAAACAAGAUAAUUUAUUUGACAGAACUGUCUUUAAUAGCGCUUUUGUCAUGUAAUUUUCAAUCAAUCGAGACCAUUUUAAAAAGGAAAUCCUACAAAUGAUAGAAAAUUCUUUCAACUUAAAUCCAUUUUAUGGCCUCUUAAACAUUAAUCAUAUAAUUUUUUUCUCAAGUUCCUUCACAGUUCCCCCCUCCCAAAAAAAAAAAAAAUAAACACAUU